GCAGCUCAGGGGAUAACGUGCAGGAAGAAUACGGGGCAGCUUUUUUCUCGCCAAGCACAUUCGUCGGCUGGGGGACGCGGCGCAGGCUGGGUGGGACUUCGGGGCUGUCUGCAUCUGCCACCCCCACCUUGUCUGCAGAGGCAGAGGUGGUGGUGGGGGGGGGAGAACUUUGCCUCUGCCAGGGGGAUGGUGGCACCCUCGAGAGAGGGUGCAGGGAGCAGCAGGGGAACGCUGACGAAUCGUGCCCCUGGCACUAGGUGGUUUUCUCCGAGCUGCUGCGUGCAGAUGGCGUGUGGGGUCCGGCGCGUCAGGUGACUCAAGUUUGAGGCUGGGAGGUAGGAUUUCUGAAGAAUGCCGUUCCUGGGGAAGGCAGGUGGGUUGGCAACACGCCUGGCUAAUCUUGGGAGCUCUCUGCCGGCGACCCUUCCCUCCGGGGCAAUCCUCCUCGCUGCCUCGGACCCUCCCUCAGCCCCCCGACACCCCACCUGCCUUUGUCAGAAGCAGGAAUGCUCACGAUAUCUCCACCAGAAGCUGAUUUCAUUCCAAGAGGACCCUGUCUUGGCUUCUGUGUCAAAGCAACUCAUCUCUUUACAUUGCAAUGAGAUGACAGCAAGUAAGUCACAAAUUCAAGCUCCAGCUCCAAGUUUAGCUUUUUCUAUCACAUCUGCAGUUGUUUUCGUUGCUGAAGUCAUGAACCUCUCAGAGUCAUCGACAAGCAUGGGAACAACUUCUUCCAAACUCCUAGAAAUGUUGACAUUAUGGCCUCCUCCCCUGGGUCCUUUUGCGUUCAGAAUGAAGAAUCAUUUCCAGAAGGUUUCCAGUGAAUUUAUCCAGCUUUGUCAGAGGACUCACUCUCUAUGGCUAUGAUAGCCCUAUGGAAUGUCCUUCUUUAAGAUAACACUUCAUCCAGGGAGUAAGUUCUUGAUUCAUGGAUACAGAAUGAAUAUUGUAUUAGAAGGUCUGACAAGGCGAUUCAUCUCUUUAUACUUCCCCAUCAGAACUCUUGGAAGACCAGGUGGUAAUAUUUGGAUCAUGAUUUUUUUCUUUUCUGAGCAUGAAGUCUCAACAGUGAACUUAAAAUAUUCGUCAAACCAAAAAUGAAGAGAUAGUCCAGUGGGUAAGGCACUUCCUUUGCAUGCAGUCAACCCAGGUUUGAUCCCUGGCAUCCCAUAUUGUUCCUCAAGCAUGCCAGAAGGGAUUCCUGAGUGCUGAGCCUGGAGUUACCUCUGAGGACUGCCACUUGUGACCCCCAAACAAAACAAAAUAAAAAUAUUCAACAAAACUUCUGAUCUACAGAUGUGUUGUCAUCUGGAUUUGGUGAUUCCAAUUCUAGAGCACCGACAGAGUACUUAGCAUCCGGAAUGUCUCCAAGACUUUCAGAAAGGUGCAAUAGGGAUUCAACUUGCAGUUGUCAGAUGUAUUAGCCCUCCAAAGAGUCAGAUGUUUGAAGUCAUACACUGGCCUUUUCUCUCUAGAUGGCAUCUUCUUCCAAAAAAGCGGAUGUGUGUCUAUAUUGCAAAUCUGGUGCUCACGGUAGCCGUGAGCUAUGGUCUUAGCCAAGAUUUCUGGGAAAUGUUCUAAAGUUUAUAAUCCCAGCAAAGGCUGCUCACCUUGCCUUUGGAUACUGCGGCAAUGGCUCCUUUCUCUCAGGAAUCAAUCUCUUCCAGCUGUCUACCUGUCUUCUGCAGCUUCCUCAAGUCUUAGUCUUCAGAGAAUUGAAGACCUCUAGGGUUGUGCUCCCUCUUAAGGAACGCUGUGGCUGGUGUGAUCACCUAACCAGACCCCUAUGGCUUUUUACAUAUUGAGACUGGCACUAUCAUUUAUUUUUUAAUUUUUAUUUAUUUUAUUAUUUAUUUAUUUAUUUGCUUUUUGGGUCACACCUGGCAAUGCACAGAGGUUACUCCUGGCUCUGCACUCAGGAAUUACUCCUGGCGGUACUCAGGGGACCAUUAUGGGAUGCUGGGAAUUGAACCCGGGUUGGCUGCGUGCAAGGCAAAUGCCCUACCCGCUGUGCUAUCGCUCCAGCCCCCUGCAGUAUUAGUCUUGAUGGUUACUUAGCAGCCACUCUCCUUGAGAUUCCAGGAAUAAUGCAGAGGUGGUGAUCUUUCUGUUUCCUUCUCUCUCUCUCUCUCCCUCCUCUCUCUCUCCUCUCUCUUUCUCACAUUGCAUUUGACCAACCCAGGCCUGGUCCCAGCACUGCCAGGUAUCACUCCUGACCAGAGAGAGAGCCAGAAGUAGCCCCUGAGCACUGUCAGAGGUGGUCCCCAGAUCCAACUUCAUAUUUAUGUAUCUGGGAACCGCUCAACCACAAAACAAAGAUAUUUUAAUAGUGCUGCACCAGCCAUGUACCCGUGUAAAAGUUUUAAAAUCUGCUGGGCUUAUUCCUCCUCUGUCCUGAGCCACGCCCCCUCUACUGUGUUGAAAUUCCAGACACGACAUCAAUAUCAUCUGCUUUGUAAUUACGUUGCCAUGUUCCUAUUUUUGUCAUUUCCACAGUAUUUCUACAUUCACUGGCACUGAUCAGCCCUGUUAAGCAAAGAGGAAUAUUUUGGUAAUUGGAAGAAUUCCAGCCUGUGUCAAUGAUGGAAUCGUGCCCUGACACGGUAGGCAACGCAAGCCACCUUCACAUUUUGUGAAUUCUCACGUAUCUUAAACUUUUUUCUUUUUCAUUCUGAUUCUCAUGCAGUGAUCUGUCUGCUUCCAAUUGUUGUUGUGUGGGGAGUGGCCCGAACAGCACCCCAGCAGACUAGAAACCUAGAGUGGCUGAUCUAAUUGUUCCAAGGCCCAGCCGUUCCCCACUCUCUCUCCCUCUUUGGGGCCUUCCUAAUCUUCGAGACAGCAGCACUGAAAGUCGGCUAAUGACCAACUCCGAAAUGGUUUCUACACGUUCAAGCAAAAGGAAGAGUCACCUGCCCCUAUCAGUGAAAAUCUCAGUGAGGAUCCUGAGAGCUAAGGCAGGCUGAGAGCUAGGCCUUCUGGACUCAGCAACCAAGCUGUGGGUGCCAAGUAAAAGUUCUAGAAGGAAAUUAGUACGCCCCUGAUCACUGACACCUUGACACUGGGGAAUUCCACCGGUGACUUUCACGUGGAUAUGGCUUAAUAAAUGACAGUGCCAGGGGCUGGAGUGAUAGCACAGCGGGUAGGGCAUUUGCCUUGCACUCGGCCAACCCGGCUUCGAUUCCCAGCAUCCUAUAUCAUCCCCUGAGCACCGCUGCCAGGGGUAAUUCCUGAGUGCAAAGCCAGGACUAACCCCUGUGCAUCGCCAGGUGUGACCCAAAAAGAAAAAAAGAAAAAAAAAGACUAAUACUGCAUUGCUGUCCCGGACACCUGAAAACGAUGGCAACUUCACAAAACCCAAGAAAGAAGAGAAGUUUCUUCUAGAAGCAAGUGUAGGUUUGGGAUCUCCAAGUGCAGCCUGGGACUUGGGGCUGCAUCUUUUCAUUGUCAAGAUGAGACUUUUGCGGGGACAAUUGCAGUGUUGAAGAGUCUCUGUUUGGGCUGUAAGUAUCGAUCGUUUAAUGGCCCCCAGUUAUCAGCAAUACUUCCUGGAAGCUGACGGGUGCACCGGAGUCCUGCAGGAAGCCUGCCCAGGAGAGGGAAUACAGGAAACAAAUCAACACUGCAGAAUUUGGGGUGAUAACGUCUUGGGUAGCACUGACCCUCAGAGAGCCUGCAAAACUAAUUUCCUUUGUACUGUGGCUCUGAUUUUCAGCAAAUUUUUGGUUUUGCACAUACAAUUUUUUUAAUGAUGCACUUUAUAUAAAGAUUGUAAUCAAACUCCAUCAUCUCUUUUGGGGGGUGGAGGAGGCUGCCACAGCCUGGAGUACUCAGGGGCUUUAAAAACUUUGUGUUCCAAGAUUAGUCCUGGUGGUGCUCAGGAGACUGAAUGUGGUGGUGGGGAAACACCUCCAUUGUGAGACUUGUUGUUACUGUUUUUGGCAUAUUGAAUACGCCGCAGGGAGCUUGCCAGCCUCUCUGAGAGGGGUGGAAGAAUUGAACCUGGGUCAGCCGAGUGCAAGGCAAAUGCCCUACCCACUGUGCUAUGGUUCCAGCCCCAGAAUUAUCUGUAGCAGAGAAUAACAGAGCAAGGGAAAUCAAGGUAUCAGGGUGGGGGUCAGGGGGGGACACCUAGUGAAGAUAAGGAAGGAAAGAAACUGUGAGGGAGAAAGGACAAAGAAGAGGACAGAAGGUAACAAGGGCACUAGGACAGGGACACAUUGGUGAUGAAGAUGUGUGAUUUGACUCCUUAUCUGCGCCAUAAAACCAAAAACACUGAAAGCAUGAGAGCCAAACGAUAAAAACCAAACUUAAAAAUAUGCCUGUCACAGCGGCAGGCUGGGGGGUGGGAAGGUAAAUGGGUACAUCAGGCAUGGGAAGUUGACGCUGCUGACGAGUGAGGUGUUGAGAAGCUGUAAGCCUGAAAGCCAACUAGGAAUAACUUUGUAGAUCAUGACGGCUAAAUUUUUAAAAGAAUAUUUUAAAAAUGCAUUGUAGCACUGUAGUCCUGUUGUUCAUCGAUUUGCUCAAGUGGGCACCAGUAACGUCUCCAUUGUGAGACUUAUUGUUACUGUUUUUGGCAUAUCGAAUAUGCCACGGGGAGCUUGCCAGGCUCUGCGGCGUGGGCGGGAUACUCUCAGGAGCUUGCCGGGCUCUACCCCUGAUGUAUUCAACAUGCCAAAAAUAGUAACAACAGCUCUCACAAUGGAGACAUUACUGGUGCCUGCUUGAGUAAAUUGAUGAACAAUGGGAUGACAGUGACAGUGUUAUUAAAAAAAAUGAGUCUGAUGUGGACCUGCCUGGCAAGAACUCCUGAGCUGGUCACAUGAAAAGUAACUGACGAAGCACUGAUCUCAACUUUUCCCUAAAACUACACAAUCGUAAGGAGAAAAGGAAAUUGAACUCUAGAUGCAGAGUUGACAUAACAAUACUAAAGGAAGCUUCUGCACUCAUAGCAAAUUGUAGCUUCCUAGAACCUGACUCUCAGACACCUAUGUCUGCAUAUCUUUACCUGUAUAUUUUACCUGUGUCUGCAUGUAUAUCUUUACAAUAUCUACCACAAUGCAUGUGGGGAUGUAGAUGAUAAAAUCUCCCUGAUAACUUUUAUCUUUCACCACCACAAGAGAUGAUGCAUAGACUGAAAUUAGACUUGUCAGAUAAGGAACUGUUUCUGUUUAUUUGUUGGGGGUCCACAACCACCUUAGGGCUAUUCUGGACCCAGUGCUUGAAUGCUAUUCCUACGCAGUGCUCGGAGACUCGUGUGGCUUGAACCCAGACUACCUGCGUGCACACCAGCCGUUUGGGUCCUGUCUCUGGCCCAAUGAACUGCUUCUUUCUCAAAAAGCAGUCAAUACAUUUACCAGUCUUGUUCCAAGGUGUUGUUGAAACAGGUGUUUGCGCGUCAAAGAGGAAUAUGUGUUUACUAAAAGCUGCUUGGAAAAUGGGCGUUGCCCUGUGAAUCCCCUGUCAUUCCACUGUGGUUUGGUUUCCACUUGAAACAGCCACAUCUAGAAGCCUGCGCAUCCCAACCAAACUUUUCCCAAAGCCCAAGAUUUAAGUGGCUUUCUUCACCAAUGGACUAUGUCAAGAAUAGCAACAGAAUUUUUGCCAAUAUUCAACGCGAAGUCCCAACACAGGCCAAAUGCAUGAUCUUUUAGCUCAUGUAAAUCUUCACAUGAUUUACAGUGAAGAAUUCAUAUUUUAUUUUUGUCUUGGGGUCGUGCCUGGUGAUGUCAGGGGUCACUCCCUCCCAGCUUUGUGUGUAAGACUUGCUCCUUGCAGUGCUUGGUGGGAGAAAUAGAGAGUGCGGGGAUCGAAAUGGAGUCAGGCACACAUUAGAGAAUUUACCCCUGUAUUUUUCUCUCUGGUCCCGUUGUCUCUUUUGAGCUGAGGCUUCAGUAAACCUGUGCAACUGAUCUACGGUAAUAGAGGACAAUCUCUCCUG
This is a long non-coding RNA of Sorex araneus (European shrew), 5941 nucleotides long. RefSeq lists it as uncharacterized. The transcript has 2 exons. NCBI's taxonomy places the organism in Eukaryota, Metazoa, Chordata, Mammalia, Eulipotyphla, Soricidae. The record is from RefSeq and is a predicted model, not a curated record.